UACGGAGGGUGCAAACGUUGCUCGGAAUCAUUGGGCGUAAAGCGCACGUAGGUGGCCUGUUAAGUCGGGUGUGAAAUCCCUAGGCUCAACCCAGGAAGUGCACUCGAAACUGGCAGGCUUGAGUACUGAAGAGGGUCGCGGAAUUCCCGGUGUAGAGGUGAAAUUCGUAGAUAUCGGGAGGAACACCAGUGGCGAAGGCGGCGACCUGGGCAGAUACUGACACUGAGGUGCGAAAGCGUGGGGAGCAAACAGG
RNAcentral lists this ribosomal RNA (253 nucleotides) under uncultured bacterium. RNAcentral's name for it is "partial 16S ribosomal RNA". It matches the Rfam family "Bacterial small subunit ribosomal RNA", at positions 524 to 776 of the family's 1533-position model. The record is from RNAcentral.